GCAGGGGUAGCAAAGCCUGGUCAAAUGCGACGGGUUCAGGGCUCGUUCCUUUAGGGGUUCAAGGGUUCAAAUCCCUUCCCCUGCA
Molecule: transfer RNA, 85 nt
Filed under: Microcaldota archaeon
Lineage: Archaea; Nanobdellati; Microcaldota
Description: tRNA-Leu
Rfam family: tRNA
About the family: Transfer RNA (tRNA) molecules are approximately 80 nucleotides in length. Their secondary structure includes four short double-helical elements and three loops (D, anti-codon, and T loops). Further hydrogen bonds mediate the characteristic L-shaped molecular structure. tRNAs have two regions of fundamental functional importance: the anti-codon, which is responsible for specific mRNA codon recognition, and the 3' end, to which the tRNAs corresponding amino acid is attached (by aminoacyl-tRNA synthetases). tRNAs cope with the degeneracy of the genetic code in two manners: having more than one tRNA (with a specific anti-codon) for a particular amino acid; and 'wobble' base-pairing, i.e. permitting non-standard base-pairing at the 3rd anti-codon position.
Source: RNAcentral